RNAcentral lists this non-coding RNA (37 nucleotides) under Schistosoma margrebowiei. The record is from RNAcentral. Lineage: Eukaryota; Metazoa; Platyhelminthes; Trematoda; Strigeidida; Schistosomatidae.
AUCCAGUCCCAAACAGGACGAAACACGCGUCCUGGAU